This 1833-nucleotide unclassified non-coding RNA is filed under the name Acanthaster planci (crown-of-thorns starfish). Its description in RNAcentral is "zinc finger protein 502-like, transcript variant X4". Lineage: Eukaryota; Metazoa; Echinodermata; Asteroidea; Valvatida; Acanthasteridae. The record is from RNAcentral.
UGGCGGAUCUAUAUCCACAGCCUAUAUCGUUUUUAGCCAUCACAUCACCAAUGGUGUUGAAGGUUUCUGGCAUUUUGUCUGCAUUGAUGAAAGCCAUAUGUGAUGGGAAUGAUGACAGCUGAGAAGCUUGGCCAUGUGAUAACACUGCUUGCAGCCUGUGCGUGUUUGGUGGGCGCUGAUACCGGUAUAACUUGUUACAACUCAACCAGCCAGGCCACUUUCAAAUCUCAUGACAUCACUGUUUUUCAAGGUGCAGAAACAAUCGGCUGUGAAGACGGUUUUGGCUGUUCGAAAACUGUGAUCACUAAAGGAGGUCAAACUGUUGGAGUCACCCGAGGCUGUGGAAUAUAUGGUUGCCUUGGUAAAUCCUGCUUUCUCCUUCAUGGUCAUCGCCUGUGCCUUUAUUGCUGCAAAAAGCCACAGUGUAACAGUGCUGUAGUUGUGACCUCUGAACUGACAAUGCUUUCUUUGUCUGUGAUUGCCAGUUGGACACUAAGAAAACAUUAAGAAAACCAUUUGAUAGUGUGUUAGGCCUGGAGAUUUGAUGGAUCAUUACCUUUGGGAGACACUUCAAAUGUGGCCAUGUCCGACAACCUCAAAGGAUAAGUUGCAUCACAUUCACUGUUAAAAAAGGCGGACAACCAACGUGGCAUCGGUGUCACAAACUCUUAACUUUUGAGCACCAUGUUUAUGAUGAGUGAUGCAGUGCAGCAGGCAUGGCAGGUGGCCAUAGAAGAUGCAGUGAACUACUUUACCUGGCCAAUGGAUGCUUUGUCUUAUGAAACAAUAGAUGAAGAGGCUGUGAUUUUAUUUCGCCACCUGAUGCCAUUUUUCAAGAGACAAUGGUAACUGCUGUGAUACUGAAUUUUUCUGAUGUUAAAUGUGGUGGUGGUAAAAACAUUUUCCUACUGACUGUGAAAGACAUGUCACCAAACAUCGUUUGUCACACAAUAUAGGAGGCACUGGCUGAAGCAAAUCCUAUUCAUAUGCCCAAGUCACACUUGGGGCAAUAUUGUACUCAAUUUUGUCUUUCAGAAUGUCGGUGUGUUUGCAAAAUCAAGAUGUGCCUGUCCACUACCAUAACUUGCCUCAAUUUUACAAAAAUGAUAUCUUUUAACAAACUUCUGAAAGGAUGCAUCUAUGUACAUGUAUGUAAUCUGUCCAUUAAUGCCAACUCCCUUGUGCUCCUUAUGCAUUGUGCAUGUAGUUGUUAUACAUGGGGGCAUUCUGUAUAUUUGGGGUCCGAUUUUUUCCUGUCCGUUACAUCUGACAUGGGUUUGUAAGUUUAGAACAUAUCCAUUAAUUUCCAAGAGUAUUUAAGUGAUGUUAAUCAAAUAAGGAAUAGUUUGAAAUCGAUUUCAGUGGUAUCCCCUGUCAAAUUUCACAUAUUACAUGCAGGUGUAACACUGAAAAAUAUGUCAGACCCUAAAUUUGCAGAAUGCCGCAUUUGUCCAGGGAAGCACACAAACCUUUCGUGGUCAUCCACAUCAAUUAUCAAAAUAAGUCAUUUUUUUCCGUCUAAUGUUUGCCUCGGUUUGUGGUCCAUGAAAGACAACUGCGCCCACAUGUAAAUCUAUAUGAUAUUAUUUAACCUUAAAGAAUGGCUUAUCGUAAAGUUUACUCAUAUUAAUGGGGAAAAAAUGAAUUUAUUCAAUGGUUUAAAGUCAUUUCAGACUGACCUCUUUAUUCAGUACUAACGUUGAUGCUUAACGAUGCAGUCAUAACUCAUUGUGCCUUUUCCUAAAAAAGGUUCGAAUAUAUAAUCUGUGAAGUUAAUAUUUCUGUCUUUAGUGUCCCUGUAAUAAAUUUGUACAAUGAUGGACUUCUUAGAAA